CGGCCGCGUCGACCGCAAGUGUGAAACUCAAAUGAAUUGACGGGGACCCGCACAAGUAGCGGAGCAUGUGGUUUAAUUCGAAGCAACGCGAAGAACCUUACCUAGGCUUGACAUCCUUCUGACCGGAAGCUAAUCCUUCCUUCCCUCCGGGGACAGAAGUGACAGGUGGUGCAUUGCUGUCGUCAGCUCGUGUCGUGGUCGACGCGGCCG
This 210-nucleotide ribosomal RNA is filed under the name uncultured bacterium. Its description in RNAcentral is "partial 16S ribosomal RNA". It matches the Rfam family "Bacterial small subunit ribosomal RNA", at positions 870 to 1080 of the family's 1533-position model. The record is from RNAcentral.